GAAUGAGAUGAUGAUUAGAAUUGUUUCCCUAUUGGUUUGAGUGCCAGAAUGAUGGUAUCCGUUUGUAUUAGCUCUAGCUGAUCAUUC
Molecule: small nucleolar RNA, 87 nt
Organism: Diospyros lotus (date-plum)
Lineage: Eukaryota; Viridiplantae; Streptophyta; Magnoliopsida; Ericales; Ebenaceae
Product: small nucleolar RNA Z102/R77
Exons: 1
Source: RefSeq, a predicted model, not a curated record